AUUGAACGCUGGCGGCAGGCCUAACACAUGCAAGUCGAACGGUAACAGGAAGCAGCUUGCUGCUUUGCUGACGAGUGGCGGACGGGUGAGUAAUGUCUGGGAAACUGCCNGAUGGAGGGGGAUAACUACUGGAAACGGUAGCUAAUACCGCAUAACGUCGCAAGACCAAAGAGGGGGACCUUAGGGCCUCUUGCCAUCGGAUGUGCCCAGAUGGGAUUAGCUAGUAGGUGGGGUAACGGCUCACCUAGGCGACGAUCCCUAGCUGGUCUGAGAGGAUGACCAGCCACACUGGAACUGAGACACGGUCCAGACUCCUACGGGAGGCAGCAGUGGGGAAUAUUGCACAAUGGGCGCAAGCCUGAUGCAGCCAUGCCGCGUGUAUGAAGAAGGCCUUCGGGUUGUAAAGUACUUUCAGCGGGGAGGAAGGGAGUAAAGUUAAUACCUUUGCUCAUUGACGUUACCCGCAGAAGAAGCACCGGCUAACUCCGUGCCAGCAGCCGCGGUAAUACGGAGGGUGCAAGCGUUAAUCGGAAUUACUGGGCGUAAAGCGCACGCAGGCGGUUUGUUAAGUCAGAUGUGAAAUCCCCGGGCUCAACCUGGGAACUGCAUCUGAUACUGGCAAGCUUGAGUCUCGUAGAGGGGGGNAGAAUUCCAGGUGUAGCGGUGAAAUGCGUAGAGAUCUGGAGGAAUACCGGUGGCGAAGGCGGCCCCCUGGACGAAGACUGACGCUCAGGUGCGAAAGCGUGGGGAGCAAACAGGAUUAGAUACCCUGGUAGUCCACGCCGUAAACGAUGUCGACUUGGAGGUUGUGCCCUUGAGGCGUGGCUUCCGGAGCUAACGCGUUAAGUCGACCGCCUGGGGAGUACGGCCGCAAGGUUAAAACUCAAAUGAAUUGACGGGGGCCCGCACAAGCGGUGGAGCAUGUGGUUUAAUUCGAUGCAACGCGAAGAACCUUACCUGGUCUUGACAUCCACGGAAGUUUUCAGAGAUGAGAAUGUGCCUUCGGGAACCGUGAGACAGGUGCUGCAUGGCUGUCGUCAGCUCGUGUUGUGAAAUGUUGGGUUAAGUCCCGCAACGAGCGCAACCCUUAUCCUUUGUUGCCAGCGGUCCGGCCGGGAACUCAAAGGAGACUGCCAGUGAUAAACUGGAGGAAGGUGGGGAUGACG
Molecule: ribosomal RNA, 1166 nt
Filed under: Escherichia coli
Lineage: Bacteria; Pseudomonadati; Pseudomonadota; Gammaproteobacteria; Enterobacterales; Enterobacteriaceae
Description: bacterial SSU rRNA
Rfam family: Bacterial small subunit ribosomal RNA
Source: RNAcentral